Molecule: long non-coding RNA, 406 nt
Organism: Poecile atricapillus (Black-capped chickadee)
Lineage: Eukaryota; Metazoa; Chordata; Aves; Passeriformes; Paridae
Exons: 2
Source: RefSeq, a predicted model, not a curated record
UUCAAAACAUACUACUUUAAUGAUGUAAAGGUUCCCAUAUUAACUCCUCAGUCUUUUAGAUUCUUUUUCUCAUUUAGGUUUUCCAGAAUUUAUGGAUAAUUUAGCAAUCAAGCAGGGAUGGCACCCCGUUCUUGAAAAGAUGGCUAUGGAAAAACCUGUGUCUAACAACAUGUACCUGACAGAGGGCAACAAUUUUGCCGUUAUUACAGGGCCAAAUUCGAGCGGCAAAUCAACGUUGGCAUGGAUCUGCCGGAGGAGAGGAGUUUCUGGUGGGCUCCCAGUGACAUCUGAUGGAGUGACAGUGAGAGCAUCUCAUAGGGUCUGGGGGAGCACCUGGAUGCACUUGGACCCGGAGCACCGCUUAAAGGAGGUGUCCCUCCCCGGUGCCCUCAAUCUGUCACAAGAA